Molecule: ribosomal RNA, 180 nt
Filed under: Bacillus pumilus
Lineage: Bacteria; Bacillati; Bacillota; Bacilli; Caryophanales; Bacillaceae
Description: partial 16S ribosomal RNA
Rfam family: Bacterial small subunit ribosomal RNA
Source: RNAcentral
UGCCCCUUAUGACCUGGGCUACACACGUGCUACAAUGGACAGAACAAAGGGCUGCAAGACCGCAAGGUUUAGCCAAUCCCAUAAAUCUGUUCUCAGUUCGGAUCGCAGUCUGCAACUCGACUGCGUGAAGCUGGAAUCGCUAGUAAUCGCGGAUCAGCAUGCCGCGGUGAAUACGUUCCC